RNAcentral lists this ribosomal RNA (253 nucleotides) under uncultured bacterium. Its description in RNAcentral is "partial 16S ribosomal RNA". It matches the Rfam family "Bacterial small subunit ribosomal RNA", at positions 524 to 776 of the family's 1533-position model. The record is from RNAcentral.
UACGAAGGGGGCUAGCGUUGCUCGGAAUCACUGGGCGUAAAGGGUGCGUAGGCGGGUCUUUAAGUCAGGGGUGAAAUCCUGGAGCUCAACUCCAGAACUGCCUUUGAUACUGAAGAUCUUGAGUUCGGGAGAGGUGAGUGGAACUGCGAGUGUAGAGGUGAAAUUCGUAGAUAUUCGGAAGAACACCAGUGGCGAAGGCGGCUCACUGGCCCGGUACUGACGCUGAGAUACGAAAGCGUGGGGAGCAAACAGG